Molecule: non-coding RNA, 1056 nt
Organism: Epinephelus lanceolatus (giant grouper)
Lineage: Eukaryota; Metazoa; Chordata; Actinopteri; Perciformes; Serranidae
Source: RefSeq, a predicted model, not a curated record
ACCUGACAUGUCACUUUCUUACAGACUGAUAGGAUACUGUGAGAGGGAAACUACUGUAUCACCUGUUUAUGACCAAAGUCUUAUUAGAACAAGACAAAGGACGUCUCAGUGAAGCCAAGUAACUGCUGAAACAAACACAGGGCUUUGGUCAAGAUGAUAGAUCCAAUCCAGUUGAAAAACCUACUUUUUACAUUUGGAGGGGCAGCAUCGGUGAAAGCAGCACAUGUAAUAAUUCCAUCUUAUCAAUCUGUGUCAGUGACAAUAACAGUUUCGUUGAUCUUCCUUGGAAUCUACGCAGUGACCAAAGACCAUUCUCCAGAAAAUAUGACAAAGAUAAUCAUCGGAAUGAUCGCAUUGAACGUCACUGAUUUGCUCAAAAUGGAAAUCAAGCUGGCGUGUGGAUUCAAUGCUUUUGUGAUACUCAUACUCGGUCUUAUGUCUAUGAAGGGGAACCAGGAAUCAGCUGAAAAGAAGCCACAAAGCCUACCAGGUGGUCCUUUUUCUCUCUCAAGUACACAGAGGUGCAGAGUUACGAUUGUGCGAGGGGGCCAAUCUGUUGUAGUUUAUAGGAGAGGAAUGUAAAGUGACAUUGGUUCAAAGGUUGGUGUGCUGAUAAUAACAAUGAAUUUACAGGGUAUACUCGAUGCCGUAGCUAUGAGUCUACGCUGUAACCUAUGCUGUAGCAUCAUGUGCACUCCUGUCUGUUUCUGUUUACUGAAACAUUUUCUCUCAGUGGAAACGCAGCUUUUAUCUACUUGUAUUUCACAGAUAAGAAACAAUAAAUUGUGAAGACAGUAAAGCCCCCACUAAAAUAGGAUUUUAAGUCUUGUGUGUGAUUUAUCUGUCAGGAUUUAUCCUGGCUUCAUAUGAGAAGUGGAAAUCUCCGCUCAUUGCUAGGCAAAUUUAUACAAUGUAAAAUGCUGUAGGUUAAUAAAGUUAGCAUGUUGUAUUUGUUUGGAAAAAGCUUAGUAUGGAACAGUCGUUUUGUGAGUUGUAAUGGAGCCAAAUUGUGUGCUGUUACCUUUGUUAAAUGUUGCUGUUGUCCCUGGUUUUAUA